CCUACGGGAGGCAGCAGUGGGGAAUAUUGCACAAUGGGGGAAACCCUGAUGCAGCGACGCCGCGUGAGUGAUGAAGUAUUUCGGUAUGUAAAGCUCUAUCAGCAGGGAAGAUAAUGACGGUACCUGACUAAGAGGCUCCGGCUAAAUACGUGCCAGCAGCCGCGGUAAUACGUAUGGAGCAAGCGUUAUGCGGAUUUACUGGGUGUAAAGGGAGCGCAGACGGCAGGGCAAGUCAGAUGUGAAAGUCCCGGGCUCAACCCCGGGACUGCAUUGGAAACUGGCCGGCUAGAGUGCAGGAGAGGUAAGUAGAAUUCCUUGUGUAGCGGUGAAAUGCGUAGAGAUUAGGAGGAACACCAGUGGCGAAGGCGGCCUACUGGACAAUAACUGACGUUGAGGCUCGAAAGCGUGGGGAGCAAACAGGAUUAGAUACCCUGGUAGUC
This 440-nucleotide ribosomal RNA is filed under the name uncultured bacterium. RNAcentral's name for it is "partial 16S ribosomal RNA". It matches the Rfam family "Bacterial small subunit ribosomal RNA", at positions 338 to 795 of the family's 1533-position model. The record is from RNAcentral.